CCUACGGGCGGCAGCAGUGAGGAAUAUUGGUCAAUGGGCGGAAGCCUGAACCAGCCAAGUAGCGUGCAGGAUGACGGCCCUACGGGUUGUAAACUGCUUUUAUACGGGAAUAACGCGCCUUACGUGUAGGUCUUUGCAUGUACCGUAUGAAUAAGGACCGGCUAAUUCCGUGCCAGCAGCCGCGGUAAUACGGAAGGUCCGGGCGUUAUCCGGAUUUAUUGGGUUUAAAGGGAGCGUAGGCGGCAUGGCAAGCGUGCUGUGAAAUGUACGGGCUCAACCCGGGCCGUGCAGCGAGAACUGGGGUGUUGGAGGCCGCGGAGAGCAGGCGGAAUUCGUGGGGUAGCGGUGAAAUGCGU
Molecule: ribosomal RNA, 356 nt
Filed under: uncultured bacterium
Lineage: Bacteria
Description: partial 16S ribosomal RNA
Rfam family: Bacterial small subunit ribosomal RNA
Source: RNAcentral